GACGAACGCUGGCGGCGUGCUUAACACAUGCAAGUCGAGCGGUAAGGCCCUUUCGGGGGUACACGAGCGGCGAACGGGUGAGUAACACGUGGGUGACCUGCCCUUAGCUCCGGGAUAAGCCUGGGAAACUGGGUCUAAUACCGGAUAUGACUCCAUAACGCAUGUUGUGGGGUGGAAAGCCUUGUGCGGCUAGGGAUGGGCCCGCGGCCUAUCAGCUUGUUGGUGGGGUGAUGGCCUACCAAGGCGACGACGGGUAGCCGGCCUGAGAGGGCGACCGGCCACACUGGGACUGAGACACGGCCCAGACUCCUACGGGAGGCAGCAGUGGGAAUCUUGCGCAAUGGGCGAAAGCCUGACGCAGCGACGCCGCGUGGGGAUGACGGCCUCGG
RNAcentral lists this ribosomal RNA (389 nucleotides) under uncultured bacterium. Its description in RNAcentral is "bacterial SSU rRNA". It matches the Rfam family "Bacterial small subunit ribosomal RNA", at positions 28 to 420 of the family's 1533-position model. The record is from RNAcentral.